ACUCCUACGGGAGGCAGCAGUGGGGAAUAUUGCACAAUGGGCGCAAGCCUGAUGCAGCCAUGCCGCGUGUAUGAAGAAGGCCUUCGGGUUGUAAAGUACUUUCAGCGGGGAGGAAGGUGUUGUGG
Molecule: ribosomal RNA, 125 nt
Filed under: uncultured bacterium
Lineage: Bacteria
Description: partial 16S ribosomal RNA
Rfam family: Bacterial small subunit ribosomal RNA
Source: RNAcentral